GGAUAUGUGUCUGAGUGGUUUAAAGUGUAACCUUUGAGUCGUUAUGAGGAAUUAUCCUCCGUAAGUUCGAAUCUUACCGUAUCCG
Molecule: transfer RNA, 85 nt
Filed under: Geotrichum candidum
Lineage: Eukaryota; Fungi; Ascomycota; Dipodascomycetes; Dipodascales; Dipodascaceae
Rfam family: tRNA
About the family: Transfer RNA (tRNA) molecules are approximately 80 nucleotides in length. Their secondary structure includes four short double-helical elements and three loops (D, anti-codon, and T loops). Further hydrogen bonds mediate the characteristic L-shaped molecular structure. tRNAs have two regions of fundamental functional importance: the anti-codon, which is responsible for specific mRNA codon recognition, and the 3' end, to which the tRNAs corresponding amino acid is attached (by aminoacyl-tRNA synthetases). tRNAs cope with the degeneracy of the genetic code in two manners: having more than one tRNA (with a specific anti-codon) for a particular amino acid; and 'wobble' base-pairing, i.e. permitting non-standard base-pairing at the 3rd anti-codon position.
Source: Rfam by way of RNAcentral